GUGCCAGCAGCCGCGGUAACACGUAGGAUCCGAGCGUUAUCCGAAUUUACUGGGCGUAAAGCGCGUGCAGGCGGUUUGGUAAGUUGGACGUGAAAUCUCCCGGCUCAACUGGGAGGGGUCGUUCAAGACUGCCAGACUAGAGGGCAGUAGAGGGAGGUGGAAUUCCCGGUGUAGUGGUGAAAUGCGUAGAUAUCGGGAGGAACACCAGUGGCGAAAGCGGCCUCCUGGGCUGCACCUGACGCUCAGACGCGAAAGCUAGGGGAGCGAACGGGAUUAGAUACCCCGGUAGUCCUAGCUGUAAACGAUGUGGACUUGGCGUCGGUGGGUUCAAAUCCGCCGGUGCCGUAGCUAACGCGCUAAGUCCACCGCCUGGGGACUACGGCCGCAAGGUUAAA
Molecule: ribosomal RNA, 395 nt
Filed under: uncultured bacterium
Lineage: Bacteria
Description: bacterial SSU rRNA
Rfam family: Bacterial small subunit ribosomal RNA
Source: RNAcentral